RNAcentral lists this ribosomal RNA (330 nucleotides) under uncultured bacterium. RNAcentral describes it as "bacterial SSU rRNA". It matches the Rfam family "Bacterial small subunit ribosomal RNA", at positions 468 to 793 of the family's 1533-position model. The record is from RNAcentral.
UUUGACGUUACCUACAGAAGAAGCACCGGCUAACUCCGUGCCAGCAGCCGCGGUAAUACGGAGGGUGCGAGCGUUAAUCGGAAUUACUGGGCGUAAAAGCGCAUGCAGGCGGCCUGUUAAGUCAGAUGUGAAAAGCCCGGGCUUAAACCUCGGAAAUUGCAUUUGAAAACUGGCAGGCUAGAGUCUUGUAGAGGGGGUAGAAUUUCAGGUGUAGCGGUGAAAAUGCGUAGAGAUCUGAAGGAAUACCAGUGGCGAAGGCGGCCCCCUGGACAAAGACUGACGCUCAGAUGCGAAAGCGUGGGGAGCAAACAGGAUUAGAUACCCUGGUAG